Molecule: long non-coding RNA, 1399 nt
Organism: Cyprinus carpio (common carp)
Lineage: Eukaryota; Metazoa; Chordata; Actinopteri; Cypriniformes; Cyprinidae
Exons: 2
Source: RefSeq, a predicted model, not a curated record
UACUGUACAUUCAUAAGACCUCAGUCAAACAGUGUAAGGUGAUUAAUUUUCAUGAUAUGAUGACAGAGUAAUAACUGUUUUCGCUAUUUCCACGGAUAAUCUGUUAUCAUGGUAACCUGUUUGAAAGGGCAGCGUUCCGGCGGUGUCAAAUAUCAACACGUCUGGGAGGCUCCGGAAACAGCUUCAGACAGGUUUUCUUCAUACCUGACGCAGCUUCGCCUGAAAAGCGAUGAGAUAUUUAAUAUGAUAAAAAGAUAAAAAAAGUGAAGAUACGAGAAUAAAGUUAGCAUGGCAUGUUCUGGUUUGAAACGCUGCAAAGUGGCCCUGGGCUUUGCUGUUAUUUUUGACAUUUUUGGCUUUACGGCCCUGUUUCUGGGGCUCUUUGCGCCACUGGAAAUGAAGGGGAGAGAUUUUGGGGACCUUCUUGUCUACACUGGGGCCGUCUUGGUGCUGAUAUCUCUUGGCGGAUGGGUCAUGUGGUACAGCGGCAACAUUGAGGGUAUGCCAACACAAAAGGAUCUGAGCGGAAUCGGCGAUGCUGUGGAUCGCUUGGCCCGCAAACUCAGCAGGAAAAUAUAUACACAUCAUGUCCACAGAGGGCCCUGACUUUUCGACGGUGAUCCUGUUAGCUGAUUUAUUUCUGAUUUCUAUUUUUUAAAUAAAAAUGACAGUGACUCAUUUUUGUGCCUGACAGAUUUAAAGGGGAAAAAUAGUAUUGUUAAAUGAAGUAUUCUGACCUUACACCCUGCUUAGGUAAACUGCCUGGAAACAGACUGCAACAGAAAUUUCAAUAACUCUUUUGUACUUUUUUAAUGUAAAGAUUUGUUCCGUUACUGUAACAAGUAAUUCAGAACAAUACUAAACAAAAUUGUUACAAUUUUACUGUACUAUAGUGCAAUGUAUUUUUUUGUUACUUUGUUAUCAAGAAAUGGUUGCAUUGAACAUGUAUGCAAAAUGUGUAUGAUCUUGAUUGAUAUUUGGCAAAUUGUCAGUAUUGAUUUUUUUUUAUCAAAAUGAAUAUGUUCAAGUGGCUAGAAAAUUAUGUUCCACCAAUCAGAGAACAUUUGCAGUACUUCAUAUGAUCUCUAGGUGGAGACAAACGUGAAAAUUUCAUGUUCAUAUUUUUACACGUAUAAAAAUGACAUUUUUGACAAAUUAAAAGGUGUUUUUUUUUUUUAAAUAAAUGUUUAAAAAUAUGUAUCCUUUAUGUUGCUCUUUGCUACAGAUGUGAGAGUUCUGUACAUCAGUUUAAAAAAGUGUGAUAAAUAUAAAACUGCAUUAUUGUUGUAGUUUCUUUUUGAAAUAUCUUAAACCCUGAAUAUUGUGUUUUUUAAGUAGAUCAGCUUUCUUCUCUGCCUCUUCUAAAAGUGCCUCCAGUAAAUAAAGAAGCUUACAGUUA